Molecule: ribosomal RNA, 744 nt
Filed under: uncultured bacterium
Lineage: Bacteria
Description: bacterial SSU rRNA
Rfam family: Bacterial small subunit ribosomal RNA
Source: RNAcentral
AGCGGCGGAUGGGUGAGUAACACGUGGGGAACCUGCCCCUAAGUCUGGGAUACCACUUGGAAACAGGUGCUAAUACCGGAUAAUAAAGCAGAUCGCAUGAUCAGCUUUUGAAAGGCGGCGUAAGCUGUCGCUAAGGGAUGGCCCCGCGGUGCAUUAGCUAGUUGGUAAGGUAACGGCUCACCAAGGCGACGAUGCAUAGCCGAGUUGAGAGACUGAUCGGCCACAUUGGGACUGAGACACGGCCCAAACUCCUACGGGAGGCAGCAGUAGGGAAUCUUCCACAAUGGACGCAAGUCUGAUGGAGCAACGCCGCGUGAGUGAAGAAGGUUUUCGGAUCGUAAAGCUCUGUUGUUGGUGAAGAAGGAUAGAGGUAGUAACUGGCCUUUAUUUGACGGUAAUCAACCAGAAAGUCACGGCUAACUACGUGCCAGCAGCCGCGGUAAUACGUAGGUGGCAAGCGUUGUCCGGAUUUAUUGGGCGUAAAGCGAGCGCAGGCGGAAAAAUAAGUCUAAUGUGAAAGCCCUCGGCUUAACCGAGGAACUGCAUCGGAAACUGUUUUUCUUGAGUGCAGAAGAGGAGAGUGGAACUCCAUGUGUAGCGGUGGAAUGCGUAGAUAUAUGGAAGAACACCAGUGGCGAAAGGCGGCUCUCUGGUCUGCAACUGACGCUGAGGCUCGAAAGCAUGGGUAGCGAACAGGAUUAGAUACCCUGGUAGUCCAUGCCGUAAACGAUGAGUGCUAAGUGU